This 850-nucleotide ribosomal RNA is filed under the name Paenibacillus odorifer. RNAcentral's name for it is "bacterial LSU rRNA". It matches the Rfam family "Bacterial large subunit ribosomal RNA", at positions 698 to 1550 of the family's 2925-position model. Lineage: Bacteria; Bacillati; Bacillota; Bacilli; Caryophanales; Paenibacillaceae. The record is from RNAcentral.
AGUAUGUGGACGUAGACCCGAAACCGUGUGAUCUACCCCUGUCCAGGGUGAAGGUGCGGUAACACGCACUGGAGGCCCGAACCCACGUACGUUGAAAAGUGCGGGGAUGAGGUGGGGGUAGCGGAGAAAUUCCAAUCGAACUCGGAGAUAGCUGGUUCUCCCCGAAAUAGCUUUAGGGCUAGCCUCGGUAUAAGAGUAGUGGAGGUAGAGCACUGAUUGGGUGCGGGGUCCGCAAGGAUUACCAAGCUCAGUCAAACUCCGAAUGCCAUAUACUUAUUGCCGGGAGUCAGACAGUGAGUGCUAAGAUCCAUUGUCAAAAGGGAAACAGCCCAGACCAUCAGCUAAGGUCCCCAAGUGUGUGUUAAGUGGGAAAGGAUGUGGAGUUGCACAGACAACCAGGAUGUUGGCUUAGAAGCAGCCACCAUUGAAAGAGUGCGUAAUAGCUCACUGGUCGAGUGACUCUGCGCCGAAAAUGUAACGGGGCUAAACACACCACCGAAGCUAUGGCUAGAUACUAUGUAUCUGGGGUAGGGGAGCGUUGUGUAGGGGUUGAAGGUGUACUGAAAAGAGCGCUGGACACUACACAAGUGAGAAUGCCGGUAUGAGUAACGAAAAGAUCAGUGAGAAUCUGAUCCGCCGAAAGCCCAAGGUUUCCUGAGGAAGGCUCGUCCGCUCAGGGUAAGUCGGGACCUAAGGCGAGGCCGAAAGGCGUAGUCGAAGGACAACAGUUUGAAAUUACUGUACCACCGUAAUCCGCUAUGAGCGAUGGGGUGACGCAGGAGGGUAGUGACGCGGACUGAUGGAUGUCCGUCUAAGCAGUGAGGCUGAUGUGUAGGCAAAUCCGCACAUC